Molecule: non-coding RNA, 74 nt
Organism: Potamilus streckersoni
Lineage: Eukaryota; Metazoa; Mollusca; Bivalvia; Unionida; Unionidae
Source: the annotation of a GenBank genome assembly
AGCCAUGGUAGCUCAGCUGGUACAGUGUUUGACUUGUAAUCCAAGGUACAUGGGUUCAAUACCAACCCAGGCUA